Molecule: non-coding RNA, 90 nt
Organism: Pristionchus pacificus
Lineage: Eukaryota; Metazoa; Nematoda; Chromadorea; Rhabditida; Neodiplogasteridae
Source: Rfam
GGGCCGCUCUUGCCCGCUCAUUCAAUAUUGCCGGUUUGAACGAAAUUGAUCAGUUCACCGGGAGCAUUGUAUGAUCGGGCUUCAGACCCU